Molecule: transfer RNA, 62 nt
Filed under: Posthodiplostomum centrarchi
Lineage: Eukaryota; Metazoa; Platyhelminthes; Trematoda; Diplostomida; Diplostomidae
Description: tRNA-Gln
Source: RNAcentral
UAUAGUCAAGUGUUGUGUGCAUACUUUAUUUUGGUUAAAGUGGUGAAAGAAUUCGGCUAUAU